UACUAACCUAACAAAAAAAAAAAAAAGUUACUAACCUGUGCAUCUUAUGCGUGCACAGUAACAAUUAUUUAGUGUUAAUAAUAAACACAAUGUUGAACAAUAUUGUAGUGCACCUAUGUACAAGAUCUUUAGCGCAUUCUAACACUAGAAACUUCAAAAACUUUGGCCAUAAGAGACAGCCUAUACCUGGAGUAACAACGCUUUGGCAUGGAUUCUUAACUUUUACUUUUAUUGGACUUGGAGUCGAGUGGGAAAGAAUAGCAAAAUUUAUGCUAGGUGAUGAUGAUGUGAAAAUAUCAUGGGAUCCGGCAGACCCUGUUCCAAAGGAAUAAUAGGUAAACCUUAAAUUAUUAAGUUAUAAUUUGUACAAAGCCAUGUAUUUUAAAUGUAGUUAAACUGUGGUACAUUGUUGUAUAGUUCAUAAUGUAUUUUUAAAUAAAAAUUGUUCUUAGAAGGACACAACA
This is a long non-coding RNA of Cydia pomonella (codling moth), 464 nucleotides long. RefSeq lists it as uncharacterized. The transcript has 2 exons. The record is from RefSeq and is a predicted model, not a curated record. Lineage: Eukaryota; Metazoa; Arthropoda; Insecta; Lepidoptera; Tortricidae.